UUCACCUACAAGCCACAGCACCCACAAGCCACAGCAGAAAUGUGGACUAAAGGAAAGAAGGAUAUAAGUAUGGGAUCAACUGAAGGAUAUAAAUUCCGGCAACACAAUCAAGCAGCCAAAGCAUUUGCAGAAGAUAUGAAGGGCGCCUAUUGUUUCAUUUGUAGUGGGGCCAAGAGCUGGACUAUGGCAAUUUGUAUAAAUACGCACACAGAAAGAACAUUCUGAAUAACUUCAACAUUUUUAGCCAAGAACUUUAGAUGUGUGAUGAAUUUCUCCUACCCAAACCAUUCUCAAGUUACUUUCAAGCAAAUGCGAGGAUUUUAAAAAGAUGCAGAGAUGAAUAUGGCACUUAACUGAUUGGAUUAAAAACAGAAUUUUUAAAAGCC
Pantherophis guttatus is the source of this 386-nucleotide long non-coding RNA. RefSeq lists it as uncharacterized. Lineage: Eukaryota; Metazoa; Chordata; Lepidosauria; Squamata; Colubridae. The record is from RefSeq and is a predicted model, not a curated record.